UAAGGAAUAUUGGUCAAUGGACGCAAGUCUGAACCAGCCAUGCCGCGUGGAGGAUUAAGGCCCUCUGGGUUGUAAACUCCUUUUAUCUGGGAAGAAAUGUACUUUUUCUUGAGUACUUGACGGUACCAGAGGAAUAAGCACCGGCUAACUCCGUGCCAGCAGCCGCGGUAAUACGGAGGGUGCAAGCGUUAUCCGGAUUCACUGGGUUUAAAGGGUGCGUAGGUGGGCAGGUAAGUCAGUGGUGAAAUCUCCGGGCUUAACCCGGAAACUGCCGUUGAUACUAUUUGUCUUGAAUAUUGUGGAGGUUAGCGGAAUAUGUCAUGUAGCGGUGAAAUGCUUAGAUAUGACAUAGAACACCAAUUGCGAAGGCAGCUUACUACACAAUCAUUGACGCUGAGGCACGAAAG
This 407-nucleotide ribosomal RNA is filed under the name uncultured bacterium. RNAcentral's name for it is "bacterial SSU rRNA". It matches the Rfam family "Bacterial small subunit ribosomal RNA", at positions 355 to 759 of the family's 1533-position model. The record is from RNAcentral.